Molecule: long non-coding RNA, 4189 nt
Organism: Balaenoptera ricei (Rice's whale)
Lineage: Eukaryota; Metazoa; Chordata; Mammalia; Artiodactyla; Balaenopteridae
Exons: 2
Source: RefSeq, a predicted model, not a curated record
CUGAGCCAGAGGAGCUUACAGCUAGAACUUAGAAAUCAUCUAAUCCAGUGAUGACAGACAUAGCACACACACCACCCCUUUCCUAACCUGUGUCCAAGGCAGACAUCACUAAUCAACCCCUGCAUACUUUGCUACUGGGCCAAGAUAUAAUCUCACAGUCUUCAAUACAAGGCUCCAGUUUCCAGGUCUCUGCUGGUCCCCAGGGAGCACUUUGACCCCUGCUUCCUGCUCGAGUGCUAUGGAUCAAGCCUUUCCCUCCACCCAUCAUCCCACCAAAGGGGCUGCUGAUCAAGAGGCCCCACCCAGCCAGGUAAGGCCUUUGGCACUCCCUGCCCCCAGUCCCCCCCGAAAGCCCCCAGUCCCAUCUGGGGCCCUGAGCAGGUCUGGCCGUGCCCCACCCUUGUCCGAGUUGCCCUCGCCCUGGGUCUGGAGAUGCCAGACUCUUUGCCCCUCCCCUGCAACGCGGCAGGGCCCUUUGCCCUCCUCUUCCUGCCAAGUCAGGGGGCCCUGGCUACUCCCCUGCCCCCUGCCCAGGCCCUCACAAGGCCUGGCAGGCCCUGAGAGCUCCCUGAGGCAGGGAUCCAGCCCUCCCCAACCCCAAGCUGGGAUCAGGACCUUGGACAGAAAAGAGGUGGUCUUUGGGACUCUUCCUCAGAACCCCCAGCCACCCCCCAGCUGGCCCCUGGCCCCGGUCAUGGUGAUUGAGGGCACCGAAGAGAGUGGGUGUGGAGCCCCAGCUGGGUGGCCUUAGUCCAGCUCCGCCCCCCCUCUGAGCCUCAGUUCCCUCAUCUGCGAAGCAGUUGUCCCCAGGUGCCUCCAGAGUUCAUCUCAACACUACCCGAAAUGAUACCUAUGAAACCUCAGCACGUGCCCCCCUGGCUGUUAAGAUGGAGGUUACAGAGCCUUAGGGGAGGGGCAGUCCCUGCAGCCCCCAGGUUCCCCUUCCCUCACCUCCAACCUCCCCCACCCCCGCUCCGUGCGAAGUUGGUUGGCCCAGGCCUCACCAGGCUACCAGCCCUCCAAGUUAAUGAUCACAGGCCUUAUCAGAGCCUUUUGCCAUUUAUAAAUUUAUAAAACAAAAGAGAAAUAAUAAAGCCCGUGGGUAAUUAGUAACCAGGUCAGCUCUGCUGAGGAGAGGGGAGGCAUCGGGCUCAGACCCACCCAGUUCUCCAGGAGAUGGGGAGCCAGCCAGUGGGUGGGGUACAGAGUGGGGAGGCUUCUAACGGUACCCACUGGUGAGGGGCAUGGCCUGAGGCUGUGCUGGAAAGGGGAGCAGCUCCCAUCCUAAAGCUCCAUUUCCCUCAGGUAAGAAAGACCUGGGUUCUGCUGGCUGAAUGCUUGAGUUCCGGGGAGGCCAAGCGGGGCGCCCAAAACCCCGGCCUGGGCUCCCCCUCCCCACUGGUGCAUCCGGGGGCCUAGCAGGGAAGUUGGGAUUGGGAGAGUCGAAAUGGGCAUGGUAGCUAAAAAUUCCCUGCCUCCCCACCCCCGUUGUCCAGGGACUAGAAUCGUGGACUCUCCUGCUUUGUCCCCACCUUGGGGCUCCCCUGGGGCAUGCCCCACUUCCCAAGCACUGGGCUGAAAGCCUUGGCUCAUGGAGACUCGGGACCCCUCAGAGGGCCGGGUCAGGGGCUGGAGGCUCCAACCUCCGAGCUAGGACCCCACCCCACCCCCGCUUCCAAGCUCUAAUGGGCCCUGUCCCCCUUGCCGACAACCAGCCUAAAGGCUACAGCCCAUGGGACUCUGGACUGGCAAGGGCUGGUCAGGAGCCGAGGCUGGGCCCCUCCGGGCUCCUUGGGAGCUGGGGACAGGGGAGGGGUCCUUACUGCAGCAGGGUCUCCACCACGGCUUUCUGGUGGGCUGCCUCCUCGGGGCUGAGGUUCUCCAGCUCUCUGAGAAUGGGCGGUGUGAAGUCUUCACCCUCGUCGUCCGUCUCGUCCUCGGAGCCCCUCGUCUCCCCCAGCCCAUUGGGCAACUCGGCCAGCUCCCCUCGACCGCCGCCACCGCAGGACUCCCCCUUGUCCGGGGGGCCGUCUCCGGCCAGCAGGUAGGGCCCCGGCUCACCCAACGCCUGGAUCAGCGCCUCUUUGCUCAGGCCCGACUCGAGCAAGGCCGCCAGGAGCUCCGUCUGCAGCUGGCUCAGUUUAGAAACCAUGGCUCCACUAGCGCGGGCCACGCGGCCCAGGGCCACUGAGCCAGCCGCCUCCCCGCCGUGUGGGCUGGCUCCGUGCUGGCCGGCCAGCAGGCAGGCCCAAACCAGGCUCCUUGCGCCCGCUGCCCCCCCAAACCCCACUAGCCAAGCCCUGUGGGCACCCCCAACCCCCAACCCUGGCCCCAGUGGCCAGUGAAUCAGGGCCCCUGCCCGCUCUGUUUACAUUGGAGCUGGGGAAAUUCUCCAAGGUUCAUAUUUAUCCAUGUGCUUAGCGAAGGGACUGAACUUUGGACUUCACCCUGCAAAGUGCAGGCCUCAUGGCAGCGCAGAGGGACGGGGAGCCGUGGCCUUCCAUGGGAGUGGGCAGAGCGGAGGGCGGGGGAGGCAGCGGUGGCGGGCCCAGGACAGCUGGGAUGGAAGGUGCUGGGAGCCGGGGAGGCCUUCGGGUGACCAGCAUCGGGUCCCUCCCCCAGUGACCUCGUAGGGGGCCAGGCUGAGGCAAGAGAACAAAAACAGCCUUGGGAACAGAAGCAGCAGAGAGUUCUAGGCUGUCGGGUAAACUCUCCUCAAGGGCAAGGCUAGGACACAUCCAUUUGAGGACCCCCCACUGCCAGCCCCAACAUCUGGCCUCCCAGGAGGGAAAACGCUUCGACUUAAGUCUACUGUGGGCUGGGUCUGUAACGUGCGUCAUUACCUCAGUGUAGCCCCCUAACAGCUGUGAGUAGGUACAGGGAUUAUGCCCAUUUUACAGAGGAGGAAACUGAGGCUCUGAGAGGGUAAGCAACUCGCUCAAAGUCACACAGCUAACAGGGACAAGAUUUGUGGAGUGGGAGCAGGGUGAGGCCAGUCAAGCACUUGGUGCAGGUGCAAAUUUUAAGGGGACGUCGAAAAACUCAAGAUGAAAAAAUAUUUUUAUAUACUCUAUUAAAAAUUCAAAAUUAAUGCAAAACCCAAAAGAACUUAAAAGAAAUGUCCACACGAAAACUUGCUUGCGAAUGUUCUCAGCAGCAUGAUUCACAAGAGCUAAAAAAUAGAAAAAACAUAAAUAUCCAUCAGUGGAUGAAUGGAUAGAAGAAAUGUGGUCUGUCUGUGCAAUGGCAUAUUAUUUGGCCAUAAAAAGGAAUGAAGUCCUGAUUCAUGCUACAGUAGGCAUGAAUCUUGAAGACAUCAUGCUAAGUGAAAGAAGCCAGACACAAAAGGCCAUCUAUUGUAUGAUUCCAUGUAUAGGAAACGUCCAGAAUAGGCAAAUCCAUACAGACAGAAAGUAGAUUCGUGGUUGCUGGGGGCUGGGGAGGUGGGGGUGGGCACAGGGAAUGGCUGCUUAAUGGGUACAGGGUUUCUUUGGAGAUGAUGGAAAUGUUCUAAUAUUGAUGGGGUGAUGUUACACAACUCUGUAAAUUUACUAAAAACCACUGAAGUUUGCAAUUUAAAAGGGCAAAUUUUAUGAUCUAUGAAUCAAUAAAAUAUACUUUUCAUUAAUUUGAAAAAUUAAUGCCAAAAAUCUGUGAUGGACAAAAAAUAUCAAAAUGUUAAAUAAAGGCAGGUUCCAACCCUCACUCACCUCCCGCUAAUGCCAGUCCUAGGCAAAAACUCAUCCUCAACCCCCACCCUUCCCUCUUCCGGUAAGAGCCUGGACAAAAAUUCCUGCUGUCUGUCCCCUGGGGUGGCCCUAAGCUCCCAGAACAAGGGGUGUGCGCCAUUGCCUGGAGCAGGCAGGGUGGUGCUGAGGGGCUGCCCCCAGGCUGGGGCAUCUCUCAGGGGUCUGCAGAGCCAGGGUCAUGCUUGGCAGCGGUGGAAGGGAAAAGGCGCCCUUGGCCAGAAGGCCCUCCCUGCAGGCCAGGCUAGGCCAGCAGGGGGACAGGGGCUUCUCAGUUCUUCAUUUUUGUACUCACCUGACACACUCGGCAGCUGUGAGGCCCGUGCGGCCACUGAGCACUUGAAAUGUGGCUAAUGCCUCUGACUGAAAUGAUAAUAUUUUGGAUCUAUUGAGUGAACGUUUUUAAUUUUAAAACUAAAUAUUUUAAAAAUUAGAAAACUUAA